AUCUGCAUGAAGAAUACAGAUACGGGUUUCGUCGGUGCAACGAAUCAGGGCUACGCGCGCGCGACGGAGGGGGCCGUUAGCGACAUGCUCUUUCCCUGCUGACCGUUCAGCGUGUAGUUCUUGUCCGCAAACUCCGCGAACUCUUCAGGUGAGCAAUCCAGCUUGGCCGCCUUGGCAAGAUCACCCACAAGCUGGCUGUUCUCUUUGAUGAAACCCUUCAUGCCGCUGCUGCAGGUUGACCCGCUCCGAGGCUUGCCAGAAAUGACUCUGGCAAUGAACGUGCUAGCGAGAGCGAUGACCUCGGGCUUCAGCACGAGCCGCCGAAACGCCUCGUCCUCUGCCGCUCGCUCCUCAAGCAUCUUGCUGGUCUGCAGCUGC
This 378-nucleotide long non-coding RNA is filed under the name Chlamydomonas reinhardtii. RNAcentral describes it as "long non-coding RNA (CREI_LNC001275)". Lineage: Eukaryota; Viridiplantae; Chlorophyta; Chlorophyceae; Chlamydomonadales; Chlamydomonadaceae. The record is from RNAcentral.